AGUGAACGCUGGCGGUAGGCCUAACACAUGCAAGUCGAACGGCAGCACCGUAAGAGCUUGCUCUUACGGGUUGCGUGUGGCGGACGGGUGAGGUAUACAUCGGAAUCUACUUUUUCGUGUGGGUUAUCGUAGGUAAACUUACGCUAAUACCGCAUACUACCUACGGUUGAAAGCAGGGGCUCUUCGUACCUUGCGCGUUUUAAUUCGCCGAUGUCGGAUUAGCUAGUUGGCGGGGUAAAGGCCCACCAAGGCGACGAUCCGUAGCUGGUCUGAGAGGAUGAGCAGCCACACUGGAACUGAGACACGGACCAGAGUCCUACGGGAGGCAGCAGUGGGGAAUAUUGGACAAUGGGCGCAAGCCUGAUCCAGCAAUACCGCGUGGGUGAAGAAGGACUUCGGGUUGGAAAGCACUUUUGUUGGGAAAGAAAAGAAGCAGGUUAAUACCCCGCUGUACUGACGGUAACCAAAGAAUAAGCACCGGCUAACUACGUG
Molecule: ribosomal RNA, 492 nt
Filed under: uncultured bacterium
Lineage: Bacteria
Description: partial 16S ribosomal RNA
Rfam family: Bacterial small subunit ribosomal RNA
Source: RNAcentral